CGCACCUUGCACUCUUUGGUAUUCCGAAGAGUAUGUCUGUUUGAGUGUCGUGAAUCUCUCAAAACCCCCUUUUGUUUAAUUACAAGAGAGUCUAGGGCUUUGGAUGUUGACUGCUAUGCCGUUCUGAAUGGCUCGGUCGAAAUAUAAGAGCUGAAGCUAAUGAUUGCAUUAAUUCAAACUCUGAAGUUGGCGUAAUAAUUAUUUCGUUAACGACUAGGCUUGAUAGCGAUUUUAAAGCAGGCUUAUAAAGUACCUCUUUUACAUUAGACCUCAAAUCAGUCAGGACUACCCGCUGAACUUAA
RNAcentral lists this unclassified non-coding RNA (302 nucleotides) under Cyrenella elegans. RNAcentral's name for it is "partial contains 5.8S ribosomal RNA, internal transcribed spacer 2, and large subunit ribosomal RNA". The record is from RNAcentral. Lineage: Eukaryota; Fungi; Basidiomycota; Cystobasidiomycetes; Erythrobasidiales.